Molecule: long non-coding RNA, 2635 nt
Organism: Rosa chinensis
Lineage: Eukaryota; Viridiplantae; Streptophyta; Magnoliopsida; Rosales; Rosaceae
Exons: 5
Source: RefSeq, a predicted model, not a curated record
GGAGUCGGAAGCCUGCAACCUAAUUGCAAAGUAUGAAUUUUUUUUUUUUUUGGGCUAUACCCAUACUUGGCAGUUUUUGGCCCAAUUUUUCCCUUGGGCUACAGCCCAGACAGCCCUUCAAGUGGCUCCGUCCCUGCUCGCAGAAGGGACAUAGAGAGCCAACAGAGCAGAGGAACAAGGGACGGGAAAGCUCUCAGGGAAAUCGUCAACCUGGGCAGUCUAAACUAAUUCGAUUUCCUGGGGAGGCUUAAAAGGGUCAAGGAUCGGUUCAGAGAGAUGACACUGUGGUUUGAACAAGUCAUGCUUGAAGAUGAUGAUGAACGAAUUGGGGAAAAUGUAUCAGAAAAUUAACAACAACAACAACAAGAGGAUCAGAUUUUCAAUACUGAACCUACUGAUGAGCAUGUCCAAGGUCUUGAAAACACUGCAGUCACUAAGGUACUGAUAUCGAAUUCGAUUCUGAAUAAUGUGAUUAAUGAUUCUCUGGUUGGUUAUUUGUUGAUUGAAUUUGGUAUUAACAAGAAAUGUUUUUGUUGUGGCAUGGAAUAAAGAUUAUGAUAAGUAUGUACAUCCUUUGUUACUUAAGAAGCUGGAUAUAUCUAUGAAAUGCUUGCAUAAUUAAACGUUCCCAAGAUAAGUGAGCUCUAUAAAAUUUGUGCAUCUGGGUAUAAACUUUAGCUAAAUAUAUAUGCAGACCAUGGAGUAACAAGGAAGAGGGUUAAUUAGAGUUACAGUCCAACAUUGUUUAGGCAUAUAUAAGUAUGCACACCAUGGAGUAAGAAGGAAGAGGGGUGACAAUGUUGGUCUCUUUGACAUAUUUAAGCUACUACGUUUUCUCAAGCAAUGUUACGUUUCCUUAUGCUUUUUCCUUUUUAAGCCUCAUCCCCUUUCUUCAGUUUCCAUCUUCGUGCUAUUUGCAAUUUUUGGAAAGGUUAAUUAGAGUCCUGGAAAAGCAAGUUAACAUGCUAAAUUUGGUUGGUUAUAUAGAGUAUGUUUGAGUUUCUUUGCAUUUGCUGGGAAAGAUUCUUUUGUAUUACAAUCUUCUUCUGGAAUUUUGCAUCUACUACCAAGUUUCCAUCAAACAAAAUCAUAAUCUUCUUCUGGUGUAAUAUUGAUAUUUGGUGUUUCCCACCCCACUCCGAUCAUGUUUUCUUCAUGCAAUUUAUAAAUAUGUACUGAAAUUGUGCUUGAAUGUUGGACUGUAACUAUAGAGCUGCUUGCCUCUUUCUCAACUCCGAAGAAUUGAAAAAGAUGAUAUAUAUUUGAUAGAAGCUGGUACCAAUGAGGUUUUGCAUUUGGUGGUCCUAAAAGAACACUAAAGGUAUUGUGUUUCUAGAUCUUUGAGAGAUUGAGCUCCAGGUAAGCUUGAAUUUCGGGUGCUAUUGAUUGGGUUCUGAAAUUGGUUUUGUGGAUGAUUGUGUAUGCUGUGUUCAUUUUCUUUCUAGACUAGAUUUUCAUGUUAUGUACAUCUCUUGAUUUCUUGAUUAAAUUCGUCCAUGAUGCUCCCAAGUGUUCUUCAAGGCUUGAUGAUGUGAUGAGCAAGAGCAACGUGCUUCCGGAGUUUUGUAUUCACGGACCAACAGUGAUGUUGAAUGUGUAGAAGAGGCCAUGGUCAAGGUGCUGCGUGCAGUUACUUAGUCAAAUUGGGGAUUCUUGGAUGAUAAGUUUGCACAGCUAUGGCUUCAAGAUUCCGUGGUUGAGGUUGUUUCUCUGUUCUUUCAAGAUUCUGAGAAGCUUCUCAACAAUAUGGCCAGGGCUCUGUGAGUUUUUGUCUUAACCUUUACUGUCAAUUUUUUAUUUAUUUAUUUAUUUUUUUUGGAAAUAUUACUGUCAAUCUUUGAUUGCUUCAUUAUGGACAUUUUGGUUUGUAGUUGUAAUGAUUUGUGUGAAUAAUGUUGAUUGGUUUUUUAUUUUUAUUCUUUGUCUUCGUGUAGAGAGUAGAAUGUUGUAGAUUUCAAACAACUAGAUGCCUGUGUCCAUCAAUUCAAGGGUAGCAGUGCCUGGUAUUUCCAACUGCUGCGUUUUUUUCAGAAAACAGUUUUUGAUGUUGAGAUUGGUUUUUCCCUGUUGUGCAAUAUUGUGCUGUUUGUUUUUAAAAUUAUUUAGAAACUCUAAUGUGCUGUUAUUGCACUCUCUUGAAUGUUGCCAUUUAUUGCAUUUUAUGUAUGCUGAGUUUAAAGCUUCAUAUAUAUUGUAUAUAGUACUGCCAUGUAACCAAGUAACAAUUCACUCCCAAACAAGAACACUACCCUUCAACCUCCACACCAAACCAGGUUUCAUCCACAAAAAAGAGAAAUCCAGGCGCAAUGAGUAAGCCAGUUUUGGAAUCACCACCAAACAAAGUUCUGAAAAGCUCAGCUGAAAUUUCAAAGGAGCUAUCAUCUGUUGUAAAUGACGAAUCUGACUUUGUAGAGACAUCUGAGUAGCUUCUUGUUUAUCAAGCCUAACCAUAUUUGCAAUAUGUAUAUAAACACGUACUGUGGUUAGCAUAACCAACCUUGAAAUCUGGUUAAUUUACCAGAUUUUUGAACAUGUAAAACAGUAUAUAAUAUAUAAUGUAGUAAUGUAAUAUAAACAAUGUUUCUAAAUUCAGUAGCAUUGAAUCGAACGACAUCGAUCAUAUUCCCACAGCAUC